UGGGGAAUAUUGGACAAUGGGCGAAAGCCUGAUCCAGCCAUGCCGCGUGAGUGAAGAAGGCCUUAGGGUUGUAAAGCUCUUUCGGCGGGGACGAUAAUGACGGUACCCGCAGAAGAAGCCCCGGCUAACUCCGUGCCAGCAGCCGCGGUAAUACGGAGGGGGCUAGCGUUGUUCGGAAUUACUGGGCGUAAAGCGCACGUAGGCGGACUGCUAAGUCGGGGGUGAAAUCCUGAGGCUCAACCUCAGAAUUGCCUUCGAUACUGGCGGUCUCGAGUGCGGGAGAGGUGAGUGGAAUUCCCAGUGUAGAGGUGAAAUUCGUAGAUAUUGGGAAGAACACCAGUGGCGAAGGCGGCUCACUGGCCCGCAACUGACGCUGAGGUGCGAAAGCGUGGGGAGCAAACAGG
RNAcentral lists this ribosomal RNA (404 nucleotides) under Bacillota bacterium. RNAcentral's name for it is "Firmicutes bacterium partial 16S ribosomal RNA". It matches the Rfam family "Bacterial small subunit ribosomal RNA", at positions 355 to 776 of the family's 1533-position model. Lineage: Bacteria; Bacillati; Bacillota. The record is from RNAcentral.